GUGAGGAAUAUUGGUCAAUGGGCGAGAGCCUGAACCAGCCAAGUCGCGUGAAGGAAGAAGGAUCUAUGGUUCGUAAACUUCUUUUGCAGGGGAAUAAAGUGCAGGACGUGUCCUGUUUUGUAUGUACCCUGAGAAUAAGGAUCGGCUAAAUCCGUGCCAGCAGCCGCGGUAAUACGGAGGAUCCGAGCGUUAUCCGGAUUUAUUGGGUUUAAAGGGUGCGUAGGUGGUGUGAUAUGUCAGCGGUGAAAGUUUGCAGCUUAACUGUAAAAAUGCCGUUGAAACUGUCGGACUUGAGUGUAAAUGAGGUAGGCGGAAUGCGUGGUGUAGCGGUGACAUGCAUAGAUAUCACGCAGAACUCCGAUUGCGAAGGCAGCUUACUAAGCUACAACUGACACUGAAGCACGAAAGCGUGGGGAUCAAACAGGAUUAGAAACCCUAGUAGUCC
RNAcentral lists this ribosomal RNA (445 nucleotides) under uncultured bacterium. RNAcentral describes it as "partial 16S ribosomal RNA". It matches the Rfam family "Bacterial small subunit ribosomal RNA", at positions 354 to 796 of the family's 1533-position model. The record is from RNAcentral.